Molecule: ribosomal RNA, 405 nt
Filed under: uncultured bacterium
Lineage: Bacteria
Description: partial 16S ribosomal RNA
Rfam family: Bacterial small subunit ribosomal RNA
Source: RNAcentral
GAUGAACGCUAGCUACAGGCUUAACACAUGCAAGUCGAGGGACCGGCGCACGGGUGAGUAACACGUAUCCAACCUGCCCUUUGCUCGGGGAUAGCCUUUCGAAAGAAAUAUUAAUACCCGAUGUAAAGGAUGGGGAUGAGUUUCAUUAGGUUGUUGGGUAGGUAACGGCUCACCAAGCCUUCGAUGGAUAGGGGUUCUGAGAGGAAGGUCCCCGACAUUGGAACUGGGACAAGGUCCAAACGGCUACGGGAGGCAGCAGUGAGGAAUAUUGGGCAAUGGGCGUUAGCCGGAACCAGCCAAGUAGUGUGAAGGAUGAAGGGUUAUGGGUCGUAAACUGCUUUGAUAUAAGAAUAUGUAUUACAUGAAUAAGGAUCGGCUAACUCCGUGCAAGCAGCCGCGGUAAUU